UUUUAGGUGCGUUUCGGAUAAUUGCCGUUCUAACGGCAAUUAGGCGCACUUAAACCAGCUUAAGUUGGGCGGUUCCGCCACAGCUGUCCUCGGUCGGCGAGGAUCGUGGUGUUUGAUAUCAUGGCAGGCUUCACCAUGGUAUUGGUAUCGACGUUAGACUUAUCGUUUAUUUCUGUUGCUUUUGAACUCUGAAUACUUCUUUAUGCAUUUAAAUUCUUGAGUUGUAAUAACUUGAUCUGGGACCUGUAAUAAUU
This 254-nucleotide long non-coding RNA is filed under the name Setaria viridis. Its description in RNAcentral is "long non-coding RNA (SVIR_LNC010378)". The record is from RNAcentral. Lineage: Eukaryota; Viridiplantae; Streptophyta; Magnoliopsida; Poales; Poaceae.